This 2825-nucleotide long non-coding RNA is filed under the name Panax ginseng (ginseng). Its description in RNAcentral is "long non-coding RNA (PGIN_LNC006452)". The record is from RNAcentral. Lineage: Eukaryota; Viridiplantae; Streptophyta; Magnoliopsida; Apiales; Araliaceae.
UUUAAAAUAGUGAGGAUUUUUAAAAUAACUAUCUUAGACCAUUACUCCACUCCCCGACUAGUCCCAGCAACAUUCUCGCCUCCUGAGAAGAAAAAUGGAACCAAAAGGAAAAGGGUGAGCUCAACUAGCCCACUAAAUAAUAUUAUGACUAAGAUAAUGUAGAACAAAUUAUCAUUAGUCCUCAAUAGAGAAAAAUUUGAUAGGAUACAAUAGACAACAAGUUUUAGAUCAACAACUGCAGCGAAAAUAACAAUCCAUUAGAAGAGUCAAGUAGAGCAUGAUGUCUACUAUCUUCUAUAAUUUAAAAGUUUGUCAUCAAUAUUUUAUCCAUGUAACAUUAAUCAAUAAAUAUUUCAAAUCAACGAAUUAUCCAUGCACUACGGGUCAAGGAUAUUCGUUUGUAUCACCAAUGGUCAUGAUCAUACCAAAUAACUAUCCAUCUAUGCACUACAGGCCAAAGAGGACUUUCACCACAACAUUUGUAUGUAACAUUACAGGUCAUGAUUAUACAAAUACACAAUUCUUGGUCAUAAUCAUAUCAAUCAACAGUCCAUCUAUGCACUACGGGCCAAAGAUGACUUUUACCACAAUAUAAGCAUGAGAAUAAUGACAGUGAUAUAAGGAAUCAAUCAAGUGAGAUCAAGGAUAAAUAUUAGAUAUUUAUAAUUUAAUUUAUCCAAAGUUCAAGAAUGUCUAAAUUGUCAACAUGAUAAUUAAUUGUGUAGUAAAAUUCAAGAAUGAUAUUCAUGUAUCAAAAAUAAUUUGGACAGAAAAGAAAUCAAUUUUAUCGUGAAUAGUACCCCGAGUGAAUAAUACCCGAGCGAAUAGUACCUCAUGAAUAGUACCCUGAAUGAAAAUAUUGGAAUUUAAUAAGAACGUUCAUACUAAUAUUCCAAUAAAAUAAUACUAGAUGAAGCACAAAACUUAAGGAUAUUCUACUAAUUUCAUGAAUUAUAGAAGCAAUACUUACCAUAGUAAGUUUAGAUUUAGGAAUAUGAAAAGAAAUAAUAUACGAAACUGCAAAUGAAUUUUCACCCGUCAUGCGGUAAUCCGCGUAGACAGAUCUUUUCCAUAAAUAAAGAAUAAGUAUCUACGUAGACAGGUUAUUCCCACAAAUUAAAUAAUGAAUAUGAAGGGUUAUUCAUCAUGCAUGCGGUAAUCCGCAUAGACAGGUUACUCCCGCAGAUUAAUAAAGAAUGAAUACAAAAAAUAUUAUCCCUUACGAAUACGAUAAAUAAUAUCAUUUACCUUAGUAGGAAAUUGGAUACUGCAAUAGUGAAGUAGCAAAAUACUCUUCUUCUUUCUCUCUAUAGUUUCUCUCUCUAUAGUUUUAGUGAAUUCGUAAAAAAAAUGAAGAAAUGAGCUUCUAUUUAUAGGAGAAUGGACUAAAUAGUAACUGAUUCACAGAUGGUCCAGAUUGAUUUACUAUUAAAACAGACGGUCCAUAUUGAUUUACUAUUAAAAUCUCAACUGACGGUCUAUAUUGAUUUAUUAUUAAAACCUCAACCGACGGUCCAUAUUGAUUUACUAUUAAAACCUCAACCAAUGAUCCAUAUUGAUUUACUAUUAAAACUUCAACCGACAGUCUGAAAAAUUAGUACAUCUCCCCAUAGAAUAAUAAGCUAAACUUACAACAAACGUCUCAUGACAAACCCCUCUAUUUAUAUCAAAAAUUGAAUAAAUAUUUAUCACAAAUCACUUAUCUUCAAUAAACACAUUUUUAAUCUUUCAACAAUUAUUCAUCAUUAAUAUUAUAACUCACAAUAUUGACAACCAGAUCAUUCCCAAGAAAGAAGGGACUUUCCGAUAAGGAUUUCUCCUUAUUGGCGCGCAAUUAAAUAACCUAACCCCUUUCCUCGACAGAACUUUCUAGACAUUGUCAAUAAUACAAAUUAUAAUAUGAAUAAUUGUGUCGUCUCAAUUAUUGAUUUAAUAAUAUAAAAUAUUGUGCAGAUGAUACUGUGACAAUAAUUGAAUCAAUAAUAUGAGAUACUAUGUAACAACUACUGUAGUAAUUAUUGAAUAAAAUUGAGUGACUUCUUAUGUAAGCGUCAAUAAUCAGAGAUACUGUGAAAUACCGUGUGUUACUAUGCAACAACGCGUAUUACUGUACUUUUAUCACCGGAUAUUUCAACAGUGUAACGGUAAAAGUCUUGCCAUUAUUUUAUAAAAAGAUUAUUUCUGUCGCUUUCUAUAUCCGACAGUCAUUCCGUUGUUUUGUCCACCAAUGAUUGUGUCGUCUUACGAAUAUUCUCCGACAAAAAGAAUAUUUCCCGACCAAACGAAUAUUUUAUGACAACUUGAUUACUUGCAAAAUUUGCACAUAUCACCCAUAACUAUAGCAUUAUAUCAAAUCACACUUUAUUAUUCAAAAUAAUAUUUAGAGAAAAUUAAAUCUUUAUUCAUAAAAAGUUGUGGUCUUACAAUGGUGAUGAUGAUGAGCACACAAAUCGAGAAUCAAAAUUUAUGUUUCCAGGAUUUGAUUCCGACGAGAGUGCUGCAAUUGAUCUGAAACUUUUGAAGGCUCUGAAGCAGGAGAUGACCGAGGCAGUUAGUGAUUUUUCCUCUGUUUCUGCUAUUGCUCCUUCGAAAGUGGUUUAUGAUACUCUAGCGCCAACGGCAGAUCAUAAUUCGGUGUUAGGUGAUGUUCCUUAUGCAGAGAAUUCAUUUAGGGGUUUGAAUUCGUCUGUGGGAAUGUAGAGUUUGAAUCAAGUAAAGGGUAGUGGAAAUUGCUCUGGAUUUGAAUAUGUAUCUCGGAUUUUUAUUUUGAGAAUUUUAAGAGGAAGAAAAGCACACGACUGAUAACUUUUUGAUUUUGAUUUGGU